This 429-nucleotide ribosomal RNA is filed under the name Gemmatimonadota bacterium. RNAcentral describes it as "Gemmatimonadetes bacterium partial 16S ribosomal RNA". It matches the Rfam family "Bacterial small subunit ribosomal RNA", at positions 355 to 776 of the family's 1533-position model. Lineage: Bacteria; Pseudomonadati; Gemmatimonadota. The record is from RNAcentral.
UAGGGAAUCUUCGGCAAUGGACGAAAGUCUGACCGAGCAACGCCGCGUGAGUGAAGAAGGUUUUCGGAUCGUAAAACUCUGUUGUUAGAGAAGAACAAGGACGUUAGUAACUGAACGUCCCCUGACGGUAUCUAACCAGAAAGUCACGGCUAACUACGUGCCAGCAGCCGCGGUAAUACGUAGGUGGCAAGCGUUGUCCGGAUUUAUUGGGCGUAAAGCGAGCGCAGGCGGUUUCAUAAGUCUGAUGUGAAAGCCCCCGGCUCAACCGGGGAGGGUCAUUGGAAACUGGGAGACUUGAGUGCAGAAGAGGAGAGUGGAAUUCCAUGUGUAGCGGUGAAAUGCGUAGUUAUAUGGAGGAACACCAGUGGCGAAGGCGGCUCUCUGGUCUGUAACUGACGCUGAGGCUCGAAAGCGUGGGGAGCAAACAGG